RNAcentral lists this small nuclear RNA (105 nucleotides) under Otolemur garnettii (small-eared galago). Lineage: Eukaryota; Metazoa; Chordata; Mammalia; Primates; Galagidae. The record is from RNAcentral.
GAUGGCGUCUUUUGUUCAGUUUUUCAAAUGAGAAUCUCAGGUGCAGAAAAGAUCAGCAUAGCCCCUGCACGAGGAUGACACGCAAAUGAGUCUCAGCACUUCUUG